UGGGGAAUAUUGCGCAAUGGGGGGAACCCUGACGCAGCCAUGCCGCGUGAAUGAAGAAGGCCUUAGGGUUGUAAAGUUCUUUCGGUAUUGAGGAAGGUUGAUGUGUUAAUAGCACAUCAAAUUGACGUUAAAUACAGAAGAAGCACCGGCUAACUCCGUGCCAGCAGCCGCGGUAAUACGGAGGGUGCGAGCGUUAAUCGGAAUAACUGGGCGUAAAGGGCACGCAGGCGGUUAUUUAAGUGAGGUGUGAAAGCCCCGGGCUUAACCUGGGAAUUGCAUUUCAGACUGGGUAACUAGAGUACUUUAGGGAGGGGUAGAAUUCCACGUGUAGCGGUGAAAUGCGUAGAGAUGUGGAGGAAUACCGAAGGCGAAGGCAGCCCCUUGGGAAUGUACUGACGCUCAUGUGCGGAAGCGUGGGGAGCAAACAGGAUUAGAUACCCUGGUAGUCCACGCUGUAAACGCUGUCGAUUUGGGGGUUGGGGUUUAACUCUGGCGCCCGUAGCUAACGUGAUAAAUCGACCGCCUGGGGAGUACGGCCGCAAGGUUA
This 547-nucleotide ribosomal RNA is filed under the name uncultured bacterium. Its description in RNAcentral is "bacterial SSU rRNA". It matches the Rfam family "Bacterial small subunit ribosomal RNA", at positions 355 to 896 of the family's 1533-position model. The record is from RNAcentral.